AUGACCUGUCAGCUCAGAUUAAUAUACUUGCUCAAAUUAAUAUAUUCAUUCAAACCUGUCACUAAAGACCAGACACAGGACAUGUCUCCACUAACCAAUGAUCUCUUCAUACGUCAACUUGCUGCGUCUGGCUCAGAUCUCUUUGGUCUGAAGAUUUAUGCUCCAUGGGUUAUGAGACUCAUCAAGCUCCAUUCUGCCAUAUCCUAUCAACCCUCAGCCCGCAACCACAGAAUCUUCUUACCUGAUGUGGACACUUCUGCUGAAGCUAUUUAUCCUGAGCCUGCCAAACAGCCACUAAGUCUUCAGAAUGCAGAACACCAAAGCUUCACUCAACAUGAUGAAGGUGUUGAAGCCAUUUCCAGAGUCUAUCCAAUGGCUGGCACCACACGUGCCCCUGCAUCCACUGAAGCCACUGACAGCGAAGCUGCACAGAGACCCAAGAAACGCACUCGUACACUCACUGAUCGUGAACUUCUUGUGGCUCUGCACCAAAAGCAAGAUAGGCAUCACGACUGGCUCAAGAGGCAGAUGCGCGGUAUCAUGCAAGACGUCAAUCGCAUCAGGAAUCUGGCCACCAAGAACGCCUUCGUCGCACAUGAAACCUGUCGCCGCACUUGGAAAGGCCUCACAAUGAUGUGCACUGAAGCCGAACUGCAAGAGGACGGCUUCAAAGAGAGAUUCAAGUUUGACUCCACACCCCCCAGACGAGCUGUGUUGCGUGGGACUCCGUCGCUUGAAGAAUCCGAGUUCUCUUCCUCUGCUGCCACCGUGACGGGAAAAAUCAUUGAGGAAGAAGACGACGCUACAUCACCACCAAUGUCUUCAGCGCGCGUCGUCACUGCACCAAGUUCGCCAGCACCACCAAACGCCUCCACCGACCCUGCUGCGCCUGGGAACGCUUAG
Molecule: ribosomal RNA, 903 nt
Filed under: Triticum aestivum (bread wheat)
Lineage: Eukaryota; Viridiplantae; Streptophyta; Magnoliopsida; Poales; Poaceae
Description: partial small subunit ribosomal RNA
Source: RNAcentral